This 398-nucleotide ribosomal RNA is filed under the name uncultured Peptostreptococcus sp. RNAcentral describes it as "bacterial SSU rRNA". It matches the Rfam family "Bacterial small subunit ribosomal RNA", at positions 358 to 774 of the family's 1533-position model. The record is from RNAcentral. Lineage: Bacteria; Bacillati; Bacillota; Clostridia; Peptostreptococcales; Peptostreptococcaceae.
GGAAUAUUGCACAAUGGGCGAAAGCCUGAUGCAGCAACGCCGCGUGAACGAUGAAGGUCUUCGGAUCGUAAAGUUCUGUUGCAGGGGAAGAUAAUGACGGUACCCUGUGAGGAAGCCCCGGCUAACUACGUGCCAGCAGCCGCGGUAAUACGUAGGGGGCUAGCGUUAUCCGGAUUUACCGGGCGUAAAGGGUGCGUAGGUGGUCCAUCAAGUCGGUGGUUAAAGGCUACGGCUCAACCGUAGUAAGCCUCCGAAACUGUUGGACUUGAGUGCAGGAGAGGAAAGUGGAAUUCCCAGUGUAGCGGUGAAAUGCGUAGAUAUUGGGAGGAACACCAGUAGCGAAGGCGGCUUUCUGGACUGCAACUGACACUGAGGCACGAAAGCGUGGGUAGCAAACA